GAUGAACGCUGGCGGCGUGCUUAACACAUGCAAGUCGAACGGGAAACCUUUUAUUGAAGCUUCGGCAGAUUUAGCUGGUUUCUAGUGGCGGACGGGUGAGUAACGCGUGGGUAACCUGCCCUAUACAGGGGGAUAACAACCAGAAAUGGUUGCUAAUACCGCAUAAGCGCACAGGGCCGCAUGGUCCGGUGUGAAAAACUCCGGUGGUAUAGGAUGGACCCGCGUUGGAUUAGCCAGUUGGCAGGGUAACGGCCUACCAAAGCGACGAUCCAUAGCCGGCCUGAGAGGGUGAACGGCCACAUUGGGACUGAGACACGGCCCAGACUCCUACGGGAGGCAGCAGUGGGGAAUAUUGCACAAUGGGGGAAACCCUGAUGCAGCGACGCCGCGUGAAGGAAGAAGUAUCUCGGUAUGUAAACUUCUAUCAGCAGGGAAGAUAGUGACGGUACCUGACUAAGAAGCCCCGGCUAACUGCGUG
This 478-nucleotide ribosomal RNA is filed under the name uncultured bacterium. Its description in RNAcentral is "partial 16S ribosomal RNA". It matches the Rfam family "Bacterial small subunit ribosomal RNA", at positions 28 to 507 of the family's 1533-position model. The record is from RNAcentral.